UUGACCUCGGAUCAGGUAGGAAUACCCGCUGAACUUAAACAUAUAAUA
RNAcentral lists this ribosomal RNA (48 nucleotides) under Diaporthe caulivora. RNAcentral describes it as "partial large subunit ribosomal RNA". The record is from RNAcentral. Lineage: Eukaryota; Fungi; Ascomycota; Sordariomycetes; Diaporthales; Diaporthaceae.